This is a long non-coding RNA of Myotis myotis, 520 nucleotides long. RefSeq lists it as uncharacterized. The record is from RefSeq and is a predicted model, not a curated record. NCBI's taxonomy places the organism in Eukaryota, Metazoa, Chordata, Mammalia, Chiroptera, Vespertilionidae. The transcript is spliced from 3 exons.
CCACGCCCGUCUCGCCUUAGGAGGCUCGCGAGGGUCACCCCGGAGGCAGGAGUCAGAAGGGCGCCACUGCCUCGUCCCAGCGCCCGGGCCUGAGCAGCCGGACCGCACCCCCUGCCCGAGCGGCCGCGGUCAGCAUCCCGCCAGGACCCGGCCCCGCCACCAUCCGGCCCUUACCGCUCGGAUCCGCUCUGCCUCCUCGGCGCGGCCCAGGGCGGCUCGCCCGGAACCUGAGGCGCAAGGACCGCAGGUUCGCCAUCACUGGCCUAAGCCGACGCCAGCCCAGCAGCCGGCCCCACCUCUCGCUGGCCUUUUGGACUAACCUAUGCUGCUUGACCUCGUCACACCUGUCUCCUCCACUGCUGACCCGGACAGUGAGAACCUCGCUUUGGAGCUGACAUGUGCUCCCCUCCCACCGGCUGCUGAGGUCAGUGAUACUCCACGGCGGGACGGUGGAACCUCGGAACGGAGUAUGACUCACCAGAUGGAGAUGAGGACGGGAAAGCUUGAUUUUAAGAAUCAC